AACUAACCAGGAUUCCCNCNGUAGCGGCGAGCGAAGAGGGANGAGCCCAGCGCCGAAUCCCCGCCCGCCCAGCCGGGCGCGGGAAAUGUGGCGUACGGAAGAUCGUUUUCCCGGUGUCGGCGUGGGGGCCUGAGUCCUUCUGAUCGAGGCUCACCCCGCGGACGGUGUGAGGCCGGUAACGGCCCUCGUCGCGCCGGGGCGCGGUCUUCCCGGAGUCGGGUUGCUUGGGAAUGCAGCCCAAAGCGGGUGGUAAACUCCAUCUAAGGCUAAAUACCGGCACGAGACCGAUAGUCGACAAGUACCG
Molecule: ribosomal RNA, 304 nt
Filed under: Neocyttus helgae
Lineage: Eukaryota; Metazoa; Chordata; Actinopteri; Zeiformes; Oreosomatidae
Description: eukaryotic LSU rRNA
Rfam family: Eukaryotic large subunit ribosomal RNA
Source: RNAcentral